Molecule: ribosomal RNA, 252 nt
Filed under: uncultured bacterium
Lineage: Bacteria
Description: partial 16S ribosomal RNA
Rfam family: Bacterial small subunit ribosomal RNA
Source: RNAcentral
GACGUAGGGGGCCAGCGUUGUUCGGAAUUACUGGGUGUAAAGGGUUCGUAGGCGGUGCGGCAAGUUGGGAGUGAAAUCUCUGGGCUUAACCCAGAGGCUGCUUCCAAAACUGCUGUGCUUGAGCGUGGGAGAGGCGCGUGGAAUUGCAGGUGUAGCGGUGAAAUGCGUAGAUAUCUGCAGGAACACCCGUGGCGAAAGCGGCGCGUGGACCACUACUGACGCUGAGGAACGAAAGCUAGGGGAGCAAACAGG